UUAUGUGUCUGUACAAUAAUAUUGGGCUUAUGUUCAGAACGUGAUUUUGGCCCAGCCAACCCUUUUCCGCGCUAACCCUAAUUAGUUUACGUGAAAAAAAAUAUUGUUCUUCGCAGCUCUUCCUUAGGCGGCAACAGUGACCAUCGAGCUUCUUUCUCGAAGAUGAUGUUCUUAAAUGUUCUCUGAAACCAACAAUGGAGUCAUCCUGUUCGUUGACAUCUGAGUAAUCUCCAACAAUGGAGUUUUUGGGAGAGCUAUUUGAGACGGAUCGUCAUGACGUUCGAUCUGUCUUCGUGCCAUCGUUUCGUCUCCGUUGCUUUACCCGAAACCGUUACUUGAUGAAUUGAUUCACUGCCAUUAACAAUCUCUUAACUCCAUCAAGCUAAUGCAACCACGUUUUCUCAUUCAAUGCACCUCUCUGCAAAGGCGGUGCAUUUUAAGCUAUAAAAAGCAAUGCGCUAGGAUAAAAACUAGAAAGACUCUUGCUUUUGGGAUCAGUCUCUGCAAGUGGCGAAUAUGCUCGCUGAGGUUUAGGAGCAGAAAAGCUUGACUAGAACUUGCGAAAUCACCAAAAGUAGCAUAGAAGCCAUCGAGAAUUGAUUCGUGGACGAUGAAUCUCGAGAAGAACUCGGCGUCCGACAACUCUCUGGAGAACAAACUCACUGUUUUACUUCAAGAUCCGUACGGACCUUAGUCAACCAUGGUGAAGACAUGAAAUGAGCGAUCUGGAAACCCCAUGCCGCCUCUUCGUAAUCGUUCACAUCCACUGAACAGUGUCUUUUUCUGCAGUGGUAAUGUGUCUGAAAACGUGCGGCUUAAUGAACGAAUCUUUCUGAUUGUCAGCCAGGGAAUCAAUAAGAAAGCGUGGGAUGCAUCCGGUGAGCAUUGUUUGUUUCAGUCAAAGGAGGUGAUGAUAAUUACAAAGGAUUACUUGCAACUACGACACUCUUCCAAGUACAUUUAUUGUAUCAUAUCUGUGCUAUGUCUUAACCUGAAGAAUAGUCUAUGCUUUUAUGUUUAUAGUGGGUUCACCCAAAUUUUUUGUUCUAUCCACUAGACUGGUCACUCUUUGUAAUGGUUUUAUGACAACCAUUUUCAUGUGAAUAUCAAUUUUAUAUAGAUUGAACAACAUUUUUAUUGUA
Long non-coding RNA from Brassica napus (rape), 1142 nucleotides. RefSeq lists it as uncharacterized. The record is from RefSeq and is a predicted model, not a curated record. The transcript is spliced from 4 exons. NCBI's taxonomy places the organism in Eukaryota, Viridiplantae, Streptophyta, Magnoliopsida, Brassicales, Brassicaceae.